GACGAACGCUGGCGGCGUGCUUAACACAUGCAAGUCGAACGGUGAUGCUCCAGCUUGCUGGAGUGGAUCAGUUGCGAACGGGUGAGUAACACGUGAGCAACCUGCCCCAGACUCUGGAAUAAGCGCUGGAAACGGCGUCUAAUACUGGAUACGAAACUGGCCCGCAUGGGCAUGGUUUGGAAAGUUUUUCGGUUUGGGUUGGGCUCGCGGCCUAUCAGCUUGUUGGUGAGGUAAUGGCUCACCAAGGCGACGACGGGUAGCCGGCCUGAGAGGGCGACCGGCCACACUGGGACUGAGACACGGCCCAGACUCCUACGGGAGGCAGCAGUGGGGAAUAUUGCACAAUGGGCGAAAGCCUGAUGCAGCGACGCCGCGUGAGGGAUGACGGCCUUCGGGUUGUAAACCUAUUUCAGCAGGGAAGAAGCGAAAGUGACGGUACCUGCAGAAGAAGCACCGGCUAACUACGUG
This 468-nucleotide ribosomal RNA is filed under the name uncultured bacterium. RNAcentral's name for it is "partial 16S ribosomal RNA". It matches the Rfam family "Bacterial small subunit ribosomal RNA", at positions 28 to 507 of the family's 1533-position model. The record is from RNAcentral.